AAAUUGAAGAGUUUGAUCAUGGCUCAGAUUGAACGCUGGCGGCAGGCCUAACACAUGCAAGUCGAGCGGAAACGAGUUAUCUGAACCUUCGGGGAACGAUAACGGCGUCGAGCGGCGGACGGGUGAGUAAUGCCUAGGAAAUUGCCCUGAUGUGGGGGAUAACCAUUGGAAACGAUGGCUAAUACCGCAUGAUGCCUACGGGCCAAAGAGGGGGACCUUCGGGCCUCUCGCGUCAGGA
RNAcentral lists this ribosomal RNA (238 nucleotides) under Vibrio alginolyticus. RNAcentral describes it as "partial 16S ribosomal RNA". It matches the Rfam family "Bacterial small subunit ribosomal RNA", at positions 1 to 225 of the family's 1533-position model. The record is from RNAcentral. Lineage: Bacteria; Pseudomonadati; Pseudomonadota; Gammaproteobacteria; Vibrionales; Vibrionaceae. RNAcentral also lists the same sequence under 1 other name.